UAGGGAAUCUUCGGCAAUGGACGAAAGUCUGACCGAGCAACGCCGCGUGAGUGAAGAAGGUUUUCGGAUCGUAAAACUCUGUUGUUAGAGAAGAACAAGGACGUUAGUAACUGAACGUCCCCUGACGGUAUCUAACCAGAAAGCCACGGCUAAAUACGUGCCAGCAGCCGCGGUAAUACGUAGGUGGCAAGCGUUGUCCGGAUUUAUUGGGCGUAAAGCGAGCGCAGGCGGUUUCUUAAGUCUGAUGUGAAAGCCCCCGGCUCAACCGGGGAGGGUCAUUUGAAGCUGGGAGACUUGAGUGCAGAAGAGGAGAGUGGAAUUCCAUGUGUAGCGGUGAAAUGCGUAGAUAUAUGGAGGAACACCAGUGGCGAAGGCGGCUCUCUGGUCUGUAACUGACGCUGAGGCUCGAAAGCGUGGCGAGCAAACAGG
This 429-nucleotide ribosomal RNA is filed under the name Chloroflexota bacterium. RNAcentral describes it as "Chloroflexi bacterium partial 16S ribosomal RNA". It matches the Rfam family "Bacterial small subunit ribosomal RNA", at positions 355 to 776 of the family's 1533-position model. The record is from RNAcentral. Lineage: Bacteria; Bacillati; Chloroflexota.